ACCGGCGCACGGGUGAGUAACACGUAUGGAACCUGCCCGUAGCAGGGGGAUAAGCGGAAGAAAUUCCGUCUAAUACCGCGUAAUAACUCCGAGAGGCAUCUCCUGGGGUUUAAAGGGUAACACCGGCUACGGAUGGCCAUGCGGCGCAUUAGCUAGUCGGCGGGGUAACGGCCCACCGAGGCGACGAUGUCUAGGGGUUCUGAGAGGAAGGUCCCCCACACUGGUACUGAGACACGGACCAGACUCCUACGGGAGGCAGCAGUGAGGAAUAUUGGUCAAUGGGCGGUAGCCUGAACCAGCCAAGUCGCGUGAGGGAAGACGGUCCUAUGGAUUGUAAACCUCUUUUGUCAGGGAGCAAUUCCCGCCACGUGUGGCGGGAGGGAGAGUACCUGAAGAAAAAGCAUCGGCUAACUCCGUGCCAGCAGCCGCGGUAAUACGGAGGAUGCGAGCGUUAUCCGGAUUUAUUGGGUUUAAAGGGUGCGUAGGCGGAGUGCCAAGUCAGCGGUAAAAAUUCGGGGCUCAACCCCGUCGUGCCGUUGAAACUGGCGCCCUUGAGUGGGCGAGAAGUAUGCGGAAUGCGUGGUGUAGCGGUGAAAUGCAUAGAUAUCACGCAGAACCCCGAUUGCGAAGGCAGCAUACCGGCGCCCGACUGACGCUNAAGCACGAAAGCGUGGGUAUCGAACAGGAUUAGAUACCCUGGUA
This 702-nucleotide ribosomal RNA is filed under the name uncultured bacterium. RNAcentral describes it as "bacterial SSU rRNA". It matches the Rfam family "Bacterial small subunit ribosomal RNA", at positions 94 to 792 of the family's 1533-position model. The record is from RNAcentral.